GCCUCCGUAGCUCAGUGGACAGAGCUGCUGGACUCCUACUCCGCGCGCGCUGGUUCGAAUCCAGCCGGGGGCA
This 73-nucleotide transfer RNA is filed under the name Microbacterium sp. cx-55. RNAcentral's name for it is "tRNA-Arg". It matches the Rfam family "tRNA". From Rfam's summary of the family: Transfer RNA (tRNA) molecules are approximately 80 nucleotides in length. Their secondary structure includes four short double-helical elements and three loops (D, anti-codon, and T loops). The record is from RNAcentral. Lineage: Bacteria; Bacillati; Actinomycetota; Actinomycetes; Micrococcales; Microbacteriaceae.